RNAcentral lists this ribosomal RNA (497 nucleotides) under uncultured bacterium. Its description in RNAcentral is "partial 16S ribosomal RNA". It matches the Rfam family "Bacterial small subunit ribosomal RNA", at positions 28 to 507 of the family's 1533-position model. The record is from RNAcentral.
GAUGAACGCUGGCGGCGUGCCUAAUACAUGCAAGUCGAGCGAACGGACGAGAAGCUUGCUUCUCUGAUGUUAGCGGCGGACGGGUGAGUAACACGUGGAUAACCUACCUAUAAGACUGGGAUAACUUCGGGAAACCGGAGCUAGUACCGGAUAAUAUUUUGAACCGCAUGGUUCAAAAGUGAAAGAAGGUCUUGCUGUCACUUAUAGAUGGAUCCGCGCUGCAUUAGCUAGUUGGUAAGGUAACGGCUUACCAAGGCAACGAUGCAUAGCCGACCUGAGAGGGUGAUCGGCCACACUGGAACUGAGACACGGUCCAGACUCCUACGGGAGGCAGCAGUAGGGAAUCUUCCGCAAUGGGCGAAAGCCUGACGGAGCAACGCCGCGUGAGUGAUGAAGGUCUUCGGAUCGUAAAACUCUGUUAUUAGGGAAGAACAUAUGUGUAAGUAACUGUGCACAUCUUGACGGUACCUAAUCAGAAAGCCACGGCUAACUACGUG